This is a long non-coding RNA of Musa acuminata AAA Group (dessert banana), 1304 nucleotides long. RefSeq lists it as uncharacterized. The transcript has 2 exons. The record is from RefSeq and is a predicted model, not a curated record. NCBI's taxonomy places the organism in Eukaryota, Viridiplantae, Streptophyta, Magnoliopsida, Zingiberales, Musaceae.
UUGUCGGCCUCGCCCAACGCCAAUCCCCCACCCCCGCGGUUCCCUUUGCGCUGCCUCGUAUGUGCACGAGGAAAUGCCCCAGUGAAGGCCAGCUUUUACCAUUAUUGGAUCGCCAUCACUGCUCCACAUCCUCCUCCUUCUCCUCCUCCAUGUCAUGCUGCUGCAAAUGACAGGCCCUGCUUUCUCGAACGGCCAUGGCGUCGCCAUCACCCCCCCCCCCCAUCCGCUGGUUUUAAUCCGCAGCUGAGUGAACGAGACGCUUGCUUUUCGACCAUCCUAAACAUAUUUUGUGGUGCCAGGAACACGAAAGUGGCUGCCGGAGCCUUUCGACUCGUCCACACUAAACCAGUGUUGGAGAUGUAAGGCGAAUUACAAGAUAAGGUUAGAAUAGCUUUCAGCAGCGCGACGUCAUGGAGGGUGUUUCCUUGCUCUGCAUAACGAGUUCAUCUCUUCUCACAUAAAGGAGUUGACGUGGGCCUCGGAAAUACGGAUUUGAUAUUACCAAGUCACCAUUAGCACAUCUCAUCCUAUAUCAUGUGGAAUCUAUAAGAUCGAUGCGGUCGCUAACGAUAUCGGACGCUAAUAUAAAGAUAUCGACGUGGGAAAGAUGAUGUCCGCCCUUUGCCGACGGAAGCGGUGCCAAGAUGUUGUUCCACGUCACCACUUAGACGGCACGUGCUGGAAUCCAACAUAGAUUUCUCCUUGAGAAACGCCUAGAACUCUCGCUCGUCGGUGUCUAUUGGGACUUAAUCGUGUGGGCAACACGCUGUAUUGGGUUUUUGGCUUCCAAUAAUGCGUGAGUGACGAUGUGACGCCAAAUAAAUCCCUUGCUAAUUACAACCCCGAAGUCUAUCUUCCUCCUGCUGACGACCCACGUCAAGCUCGCCUUGUGGUUGUGACGGUUGCAGGCAAGCCCCAGCUCGACGCUGCGCCGACUACGCGGCACUGGCCAUGCCCCAGAUGUCAUGGCACCCUAUGCUCGUUGGACAACGUAAGACAUGUUGCUAUGGAUUAGGACGGUUGGUGGCAGGGAUGGGGAUGUUUCCCAUCAAGCUGACUGGUUCCCUACAGUCCUCCCCUACUGUACGCCUUCCAUGGCGUUCUCGAACCAGCUCAAGCUGACUCUAUUAUGUCGGUGACGGAGACGAGCGGAAGAACGAAUACGAAAGAUCAACUCUCUUAACUCUACCAUAUUAGAUUGUUGUUUUAUUUUUACCUCUCUCGGCAAGAGUUUACUAGCUCUCUCUACUAUUGUAAAUGAUGAUACUAUAAAGUAAUCAACUUAUCACAUGUGAAUGAAUGAU